GCGGAGGAUCAUUACAGAGAAUGUGCCCUUCGGGGUGUAUCUCCCACCCUUUGUUUACAAUACCUUUGUUGCUUUGGCAGGCCUGUCUAAUGACUACUGGCUUUUGCUGGUUAGUGCCUGCCAGAGGACCUCAACACUCAUAAUUUUGUUGUCUGAGUACUUGCAUAAUAGUUAAAAACUUUCAACAACGGAUCUCUUGGUUCUGGCAUCGAUGAAGAACGCAGCGAAAUGCGAUAAGUAAUGUGAAUUGCAGAAUUCAGUGAAUCAUCGAAUCUUUGAACGCACAUUGCGCCCCUUGGUAUUCCGGGGGGCAUGCCUGUUCGAGCGUCAUUAUGACCAAUCCCGCAAAGGGGUCUUGGGGUCCGCGGUUCGCUGCGGCCCUUAAAAUCAGUGGCGGCGCCGCCGGUGCUCUCAGCGUAGUAAUACUCCUCGCUCGGGAGCCACGUAGAUGCUCGCCAGCAAACCUCAAUCUUCACAGGUUGACCUCGGAUCAGGUAGGGAUACCCGCUGAACUUAA
RNAcentral lists this ribosomal RNA (517 nucleotides) under uncultured Helotiales. RNAcentral describes it as "eukaryotic LSU rRNA". The stretch from base 177 to 330 matches the Rfam family "5.8S ribosomal RNA". The record is from RNAcentral. Lineage: Eukaryota; Fungi; Ascomycota; Leotiomycetes; Helotiales.